Molecule: small nucleolar RNA, 71 nt
Organism: Dermacentor silvarum
Lineage: Eukaryota; Metazoa; Arthropoda; Arachnida; Ixodida; Ixodidae
Source: RefSeq, a predicted model, not a curated record
UUGCAGUGAUGGUUUUUGAAUUUCUUCACCUGAAUUGUUUUUUGUAGAAAAACAUACUUUUUCUGAGCUAA